Molecule: ribosomal RNA, 2909 nt
Filed under: Escherichia coli
Lineage: Bacteria; Pseudomonadati; Pseudomonadota; Gammaproteobacteria; Enterobacterales; Enterobacteriaceae
Description: bacterial LSU rRNA
Rfam family: Bacterial large subunit ribosomal RNA
Source: RNAcentral
GGGUUGUGAGGUUAAGCGACUAAGCGUACACGGUGGAUGCCCUGGCAGUCAGAGGCGAUGAAGGACGUGCUAAUCUGCGAUAAGCGUCGGUGAGGUGAUAUGAACCGUUAUAACCGGCGAUUUCCGAAUGGGGAAACCCAGUGUGUUUCGACACACUAUCAUUAACUGAAUCCAUAGGUUAAUGAGGCGAACCGGGGGAACUGAAACAUCUAAGUACCCCGAGGAAAAGAAAUCAACCGAGAUUCCCCCAGUAGCGGCGAGCGAACGGGGAGGAGCCCAGAGCCUGAAUCAGUGUGUGUGUUAGUGGAAGCGUCUGGAAAGGCGCGCGAUACAGGGUGACAGCCCCGUACACAAAAAUGCACAUAUUGUGAGCUCGAUGAGUAGGGCGGGACACGUGGUAUCCUGUCUGAAUAUGGGGGGACCAUCCUCCAAGGCUAAAUACUCCUGACUGACCGAUAGUGAACCAGUACCGUGAGGGAAAGGCGAAAAGAACCCCGGCGAGGGGAGUGAAAAAGAACCUGAAACCGUGUACGUACAAGCAGUGGGAGCCUCUUUAUGGGGUGACUGCGUACCUUUUGUAUAAUGGGUCAGCGACUUAUAUUCUGUAGCAAGGUUAACCGAAUAGGGGAGCCGAAGGGAAACCGAGUCUUAACUGGGCGUUAAGUUGCAGGGUAUAGACCCGAAACCCGGUGAUCUAGCCAUGGGCAGGUUGAAGGUUGGGUAACACUAACUGGAGGACCGAACCGACUAAUGUUGAAAAAUUAGCGGAUGACUUGUGGCUGGGGGUGAAAGGCCAAUCAAACCGGGAGAUAGCUGGUUCUCCCCGAAAGCUAUUUAGGUAGCGCCUCGUGAAUUCAUCUCCGGGGGUAGAGCACUGUUUCGGCAAGGGGGUCAUCCCGACUUACCAACCCGAUGCAAACUGCGAAUACCGGAGAAUGUUAUCACGGGAGACACACGGCGGGUGCUAACGUCCGUCGUGAAGAGGGAAACAACCCAGACCGCCAGCUAAGGUCCCAAAGUCAUGGUUAAGUGGGAAACGAUGUGGGAAGGCCCAGACAGCCAGGAUGUUGGCUUAGAAGCAGCCAUCAUUUAAAGAAAGCGUAAUAGCUCACUGGUCGAGUCGGCCUGCGCGGAAGAUGUAACGGGGCUAAACCAUGCACCGAAGCUGCGGCAGCGACACUAUGUGUUGUUGGGUAGGGGAGCGUUCUGUAAGCCUGUGAAGGUGGCCUGUGAGGGUUGCUGGAGGUAUCAGAAGUGCGAAUGCUGACAUAAGUAACGAUAAAGCGGGUGAAAAGCCCGCUCGCCGGAAGACCAAGGGUUCCUGUCCAACGUUAAUCGGGGCAGGGUGAGUCGACCCCUAAGGCGAGGCCGAAAGGCGUAGUCGAUGGGAAACAGGUUAAUAUUCCUGUACUUGGUGUUACUGCGAAGGGGGGACGGAGAAGGCUAUGUUGGCCGGGCGACGGUUGUCCCGGUUUAAGCGUGUAGGCUGGUUUUCCAGGCAAAUCCGGAAAACCAAGGCUGAGGCGUGAUGACGAGGCACUACGGUGCUGAAGCGACAAAUGCCCUGCUUCCAGGAAAAGCCUCUAAGCAUCAGGUAACAUCAAAUCGUACCCCAAACCGACACAGGUGGUCAGGUAGAGAAUACCAAGGCGCUUGAGAGAACUCGGGUGAAGGAACUAGGCAAAAUGGUGCCGUAACUUCGGGAGAAGGCACGCUGAUAUGUAGGUGAAGCGACUUGCUCGUGGAGCUGAAAUCAGUCGAAGAUACCAGCUGGCUGCAACUGUUUAUUAAAAACACAGCACUGUGCAAACACGAAAGUGGACGUAUACGGUGUGACGCCUGCCCGGUGCCGGAAGGUUAAUUGAUGGGGUUAGCGGUAACGCGAAGCUCUUGAUCGAAGCCCCGGUAAACGGCGGCCGUAACUAUAACGGUCCUAAGGUAGCGAAAUUCCUUGUCGGGUAAGUUCCGACCUGCACGAAUGGCGUAAUGAUGGCCAGGCUGUCUCCACCCGAGACUCAGUGAAAUUGAACUCGCUGUGAAGAUGCAGUGUACCCGCGGCAAGACGGAAAGACCCCGUGAACCUUUACUAUAGCUUGACACUGAACAUUGAGCCUUGAUGUGUAGGAUAGGUGGGAGGCUUUGAAGUGUGGACGCCAGUCUGCAUGGAGCCGACCUUGAAAUACCACCCUUUAAUGUUUGAUGUUCUAACGUUGGCCCGUAAUCCGGGUUGCGGACAGUGUCUGGUGGGUAGUUUGACUGGGGCGGUCUCCUCCUAAAGAGUAACGGAGGAGCACGAAGGUUGGCUAAUCCUGGUCGGACAUCAGGAGGUUAGUGCAAUGGCAUAAGCCAGCUUGACUGCGAGCGUGACGGCGCGAGCAGGUGCGAAAGCAGGUCAUAGUGAUCCGGUGGUUCUGAAUGGAAGGGCCAUCGCUCAACGGAUAAAAGGUACUCCGGGGAUAACAGGCUGAUACCGCCCAAGAGUUCAUAUCGACGGCGGUGUUUGGCACCUCGAUGUCGGCUCAUCACAUCCUGGGGCUGAAGUAGGUCCCAAGGGUAUGGCUGUUCGCCAUUUAAAGUGGUACGCGAGCUGGGUUUAGAACGUCGUGAGACAGUUCGGUCCCUAUCUGCCGUGGGCGCUGGAGAACUGAGGGGGGCUGCUCCUAGUACGAGAGGACCGGAGUGGACGCAUCACUGGUGUUCGGGUUGUCAUGCCAAUGGCACUGCCCGGUAGCUAAAUGCGGAAGAGAUAAGUGCUGAAAGCAUCUAAGCACGAAACUUGCCCCGAGAUGAGUUCUCCCUGACUCCUUGAGAGUCCUGAAGGAACGUUGAAGACGACGACGUUGAUAGGCCGGGUGUGUAAGCGCAGCGAUGCGUUGAGCUAACCGGUACUAAUGAACCGUGAGGCUUAA